RNAcentral lists this ribosomal RNA (497 nucleotides) under uncultured bacterium. RNAcentral describes it as "partial 16S ribosomal RNA". It matches the Rfam family "Bacterial small subunit ribosomal RNA", at positions 28 to 507 of the family's 1533-position model. The record is from RNAcentral.
GAUGAACGCUGGCGGCGUGCCUAAUACAUGCAAGUCGAGCGAACAGAUGAGGAGCUUGCUCCUCUGACGUUAGCGGCGGACGGGUGAGUAACACGUGGAUAACCUACCUACAAGACUGGGAUAACUUCGGGAAACCGGAGCUAAUACCGGAUAAUAUAUUGAACCGCAUGGUUCAAUAGUGAAAGACGGUUUUGCUGUCACUUAUAGAUGGAUCCGCGCCGCAUUAGCUAGUUGGUAAGGUAACGGCUUACCAAGGCGACGAUGCGUAGCCGACCUGAGAGGGUGAUCGGCCACACUGGAACUGAGACACGGUCCAGACUCCUACGGGAGGCAGCAGUAGGGAAUCUUCCGCAAUGGGCGAAAGCCUGACGGAGCAACGCCGCGUGAGUGAUGAAGGUCUUCGGAUCGUAAAACUCUGUUAUUAGGGAAGAACAAAUGUGUAAGUAACUAUGCACGUCUUGACGGUACCUAAUCAGAAAGCCACGGCUAACUACGUG